AUGGCGGACAAUACGGAGAAGACGCACAACUGGACAAUUGAAGAAACAAGGGCCCUCAUCGAGUGGCGGGCGGCAAAUGAAGCUCGGUUCACUGGCCUCCGCAACUCCUCUGCUACGGGAUGGGAGGACUUCAUUUCCACUUCUGGCCUGGAUAUUUCCACCAAACAGGCCAUGAAGAAGUGGAACAAUCUGAAGCUCAAGUACAAAUCGCUUAGGGACCCACCGACAGGCAGAGGGGUAGAGGCUGGUACAGCUACUGCCGCCACCUGGCAGUGGUAUGGUGCCAUGGAUGCUGCACUCCAGGGACAUCACUCCAUCUGUCCGCCCCUGGUUGUUGCAUCCAACAUGACUGCCACUACAGGUGGGGUAGUAAGCACACCGGCUUCUACCUCUUCUGCUGAGGAGGCCGGGGGAAGCAGCAGCAGAAAGAGACCCAGGGACAGUCUGCUGGAGCUUUUGAGGGAGUGGCGAGAGAGGCAGAGAGGGAGAGGGCGGCAGCAGUCUGGGCUGAACGGUACCUGA
Molecule: long non-coding RNA, 522 nt
Filed under: Gadus morhua (Atlantic cod)
Lineage: Eukaryota; Metazoa; Chordata; Actinopteri; Gadiformes; Gadidae
Description: lncRNA (ENSGMOG00000026408.1)
Source: RNAcentral